RNAcentral lists this ribosomal RNA (253 nucleotides) under uncultured bacterium. RNAcentral describes it as "partial 16S ribosomal RNA". It matches the Rfam family "Bacterial small subunit ribosomal RNA", at positions 524 to 776 of the family's 1533-position model. The record is from RNAcentral.
UACGUAGGUGGCAAGCGUUGUCCGGAAUUAUUGGGCGUAAAGCGCGCGCAGGCGGUCCUUUAAGUCUGAUGUGAAAGCCCACGGCUCAACCGUGGAAGGUCAUUGGAAACUGGGGGACUUGAGUGCAGAAGAGGUUAGUGGAAUUCCAAGUGUAGCGGUGAAAUGCGUAGAGAUUUGGAGGAACACCAGUGGCGAAGGCGACUAACUGGUCUGUAACUGACGCUGAGGGACGAAAGCGUGGGCAGCGAACAGG